This 162-nucleotide ribosomal RNA is filed under the name uncultured bacterium. Its description in RNAcentral is "partial 16S rRNA". It matches the Rfam family "Bacterial small subunit ribosomal RNA", at positions 355 to 510 of the family's 1533-position model. The record is from RNAcentral.
UAGGGAAUCUUCCACAAUGGCGCAAGCCUGAUGGAGCAACACCGCGUGAGUGAAGAAGGGUUUCGGCUCGUAAAGCUCUGUUGUUAAAGAAGAACACGUAUGAGAGUAACUGUUCAUACGUUGACGGUAUUUAACCAGAAAGUCACGGCUAACUACGUGCCA